Long non-coding RNA from Oncorhynchus keta (chum salmon), 1536 nucleotides. RefSeq lists it as uncharacterized. The transcript has 3 exons. The record is from RefSeq and is a predicted model, not a curated record. NCBI's taxonomy places the organism in Eukaryota, Metazoa, Chordata, Actinopteri, Salmoniformes, Salmonidae.
GGUUAUAGAGAGAGGUUUUCUGUUUCAUGGUUUGUAUGGUUAUAGAGAGAGGUUUUCUGUUUCAUGGUUUGUAUGGUUAUAGAGAGAGGUUUUUAUGGUUAUAGAGAGAGGUUUUCUGUUUCAUGGUUUGUAUGGUUAUAGAGAGAGGUUUGUAUGGUUAUAGAGAGAGGUUUUUUUUGUUACGGGGUUGACAUUUUGUUAUGGUUCCAUUGAACCAGUAUCUGUUGAGGAGGAUGCCCUGACUGUGGAACAGUAGACCGAGCACUCAUAUACUGUCUUUUCUUUUGUUUUUCAUUAUGGGGGAAUGAGUGUGUUUUGAUUAUGGGGGAAUUAAUGAAUGUGUUUUUGAUUAUGGGGGAAUGAAUGAAUGUGUGUUUGAUUAUGGGGGAAUGAAUGAAUGUGUUUUUGAUUAUGGGGGAAUGAAUGUGGUUUUGAUUAUGGGGGAAUGAAUGAAUGUGGUUUUGAUUAGGGGGGAAUGAAUGAAUGUGUUUUUGAUUAUGGGGGAAUGAAUGAAUGAGUUUUUGAUUAUGGGGGAAUGCAUUAAUGUGUUUUUGAUUAUGGGGGAAUGAAUGAAUGUGUUUUUGAUUAUGGGGGAAUGAAUGAAUGUGUUUUUGAUUAUGGGGAAAUGAAUGAAUGUGUUUUUGAUUAUGGGGGAAUGAAUGAAUGUGUUUUUGAUUAUGGGGGAAUGAAUGAAUGAAUGUGUUUUUGAUUAUGGGGGUAUGAAUGAAUGUGUUUUUGAUUAUGGGGGAAUGAAUGAAUGCGUUUUUGAUUAUGGGGGAAUGAAUGAAUGUGUUUUGAUUAUGGGGGAAUGAAUGAAUGUGUUUUUGAUUAUGGUGGAAUGCAUUAAUGUGUUUUUGAUUAUGGGGGAAUGAAUGAAUGUGUGUUUGAUUAUGGGGGAAUGAAUGAAUGUGUUUUUGAUUAUGGGGGAAUGAAUGAAUGUGUUUUUGAUUAUGGGGGAAUGAAUGAAUGUGUUUUUGAUUAUGGGGGAAUGAAUGAAUGUGUUUUUGAUUAUGGGGGAAUGAAUGAAUGUGUUUUUGAUUAUGGGGGAAUGAAUGAAUGUGUUUUUGAUUAUGGGGGAAUGAAUGAAUGUGUUUUUGAUUAUGGGGGAAUGAAUGAAUGUGUGUUUGAUUAUGGGAGAAUGAAUGAAUGUGUUUUUGUUUAUGGGGGAAUGAAUGAAUGUGUUUUUGAUUAUGGGGGAAUGAAUGAAUGUGUGUUUGAUUAUGGGAGAAUGAAUGAAUGUGUUUUUGUUUAUGGGGGAAUGAAUGAAUGUGUUUUUGAUUAUGGGGGAAUGAAUUAAUGUGUUUUUGAUUAUGGGGGAAUGAAUGAAUGUGUUUUUGAUUAUGGGGGAAUGAAUGAAUGUGUUUUUGAUUAUGGGGGAAUGAAUGAAUGUGUUUUUGAUUAUGGGGGAAUGAAUGAAUGUGUUUUUGAUUAUGGGGGAAUGAAUGAAUGUGUUUUUGAUUAUGGGGGAAUGAAUGAAUGUGUUUUUGAUUUGUGUGUUGCCUUUUUUCUGUUCCCCUGCCCAUGGUGCCUUAAUGU